AGUCUUACUGCUCCAUGAUUGGGUAUAGGCAUGAUAGUCUGCACAGAGCCUUUUCCAAAAGAUUGCGUGCCCAUAAUUACAGCUCUUCUAUGAUCCUGUAACGCGCCCGCAACUAUUUCAGAUGCAGACGCAGAACCACCAUUUAUCAACACAACCAUUGGCAAACCAUCAAUCAAAUCCCCGGGUCUGGCAUUAUAUCUUUGAGACCUCUUUCCUUCCCUGCCGCGGGUAGACACUAUUUCACCGCGUUCUAAAAACGCAUCAGUCACUUUAAUGGCCUGGCUCAGCAAGCCUCCUGGAUUG
RNAcentral lists this non-coding RNA (303 nucleotides) under marine eukaryotic metagenome. The record is from RNAcentral.